Molecule: transfer RNA, 73 nt
Filed under: Marmota monax (woodchuck)
Lineage: Eukaryota; Metazoa; Chordata; Mammalia; Rodentia; Sciuridae
Rfam family: tRNA
About the family: Transfer RNA (tRNA) molecules are approximately 80 nucleotides in length.
Source: Rfam by way of RNAcentral
AGGGGUGUGGCUCAGUGGUAGAGUGCUUGCCUUAGCAUGUGUGAGGCACUGGGUUCAAUUCUCAGCAUCACAU